GAUGAAGAACGUAGCGAAAUGCGAUAAGUAAUGUGAAUUGCAGAAUUCAGUGAAUCAUCGAAUCUUUGAACGCACCUUGCGCUCCUUGGUAUUCCAAGGAGCAUGCCUGUUUGAGUAUCAUUAAAUUAUCAACUGUGCCAAUUUGGUUACAGAUUGGAUGUGGGAGAUUCUUUUUGCAGGCCUUUGACUUCUCUUUGAGAAAAAAAUAAAAGGUCGGCUCUCCUGAAAUGUAUUAGCAGUGCCUUUGUUGGUUCAUUAGGUGUGAUAAAUUGUCUACAUCUUCGCAUGAUACCUUCAUUUGUAAAGGUCAUAUUGCUUCUAAAUUGUCUUUGAUUGGACGCAAAACAUAUAUAAUGUUUGACAAACUUGAUCUCAAAUCAGGCAGGACUACCCGCUGAACUUAAGCAUAUCAAUAAGCGGAGGA
This 424-nucleotide unclassified non-coding RNA is filed under the name soil metagenome. RNAcentral describes it as "partial contains 5.8S ribosomal RNA, internal transcribed spacer 2, and large subunit ribosomal RNA". The stretch from base 1 to 120 matches the Rfam family "5.8S ribosomal RNA", at positions 35 to 154 of the family's 154-position model. The record is from RNAcentral.